CCGGUCGAGCCCGCCAGAGGUUACCGCUAUCGAGAUUCGACUAAGCCACGCGAGUUGAACGUUCUUCGGAACAUGGCGGACCGCUCAGUAACACGUGGACAACCUACCCUUGGGUCCGGCAUAAUCCUGGGAAACUGGGAAUAAUUCCGGAUAGGUCACCGAUGCUGGAAUGCGCGGUGGCCGAAAGCUCCGGCGCCCGAGGAUGGGUCUGCGGCCUAUCAGGUUGUAGUGGGUGUAACGUACCUACUAGCCUACGACGGGUACGGGUUGUGAGAGCAAGAGCCCGGAGAUGGAUUCUGAGACACGAAUCCAGGCCCUACGGGGUGCAGCAGGCGCGAAAACUUUACAAUGCGGGAAACCGUGAUAAGGGGAUCUCGAGUGCCAGCAUAUAAUGUUGGCUGUCCAGAUGCCUAAAAAGCAUUGUUAGCAAGGGCCGGGCAAGACCGGUGCCAGCCGCCGCGGUAACACCUGCGGCCCGAGUGGUAACCGCUAUUAUUGGGUCUAAAGGGUCUGUAGCCGGCCAGGUAAGUCCCUUGGGAAAUCUGGCAGCUCAACUGUCAGGCUGCUAGGGGAUACUGUUUUUCUUGAGACCGGGAGAGGUGAUAGGUACCUUGUGGGUAGGGGUGAAAUCUUAUCAUCCUCUAUCGACCACCAUUGGCGAACGCUUCUCUCCAUAACGGGUCCGACACUUAUGGACCAAAUCUAUCUGCGCAAACCUGAUUUUUUACCCCGGUACUCCUAGCCGUAAACGAUGCUCGCUAGGUGUCAGUCACGGUGCGACCGUGAUUGGUGCCGUAGCGAAGCCGUGAAGCGAGCCACCUGGGAAGUAUGGCCGCAAGGUUGAAACUUAAAGGAAUUGGUGGGGGAGCACCACAACGGGUGGAGCCUGCGGUUUAAUUGGAUUCAACGCCGGAAAUCUCACCGGGGGCGACAGCGAUAUGAAGGUCAGGCUGAAGACUUUACCGGAUUAGCUGAGAGGUGGUGCAUGGCCGUCGUCAGUUCGUACUGUGAAGCAUCCUGUUAAGUCAGGCAACGAGCGAGACCCACAUCCACAGUUGCCAGCAUAUUCUCCGGAAUGAUGGGUACACUGUGGAGACCGCCGCUGCUAAAGCGGAGGAAGGAGUGGGCAACGGUAGGUCAGUAUGCCCCGAAUCUCCCGGGCUACACGCGGGCUACAAUGGUUGGUACAAUGGGCAUCUACCCCGAAAGGGGAAGGAAAUCUCUUAAAACCAAUCGUAGUUCGGAUUGAGGGCUGCAACUCGCCCUCAUGAAGCUGGAAUCCGUAGUAAUCGCGUUUCAACAGAACGCGGUGAAUACGUCCCUGCUCCUUGCACACACCGCCCGUCAAACCACCCGAGUAGGGUCUGGAUGAGGGUGUGUUUUAUUGACACAUUCGAAUCUGGGCUUUGCAAGGGGGGUU
Molecule: ribosomal RNA, 1420 nt
Filed under: uncultured Methanosaeta sp.
Lineage: Archaea; Methanobacteriati; Methanobacteriota; Methanomicrobia; Methanotrichales; Methanotrichaceae
Description: 16S ribosomal RNA
Rfam family: Archaeal small subunit ribosomal RNA
Source: RNAcentral